UACGGGGGGGGUAAGCGUUGUUCGGAAUUACUGGGCGUAAAGGGCUCGUAGGCGGCCAACUAAGUCAGACGUGAAAUCCCUCAGCUUAACUGGGGAACUGCGUCUGAUACUGGAUGGCUUGGAUUCGGGAGAGGAAUGCGGAAUUCCAGGUGUAGCGGUGAAAUGCGCAGAUAUCUGGAGGAACACCGGUGGCGAAGGCGGCAUCCUGGACCGGCAUUGACGCUGAGGAGCGAAAGCCAGGGGAGCAAACGGG
This 253-nucleotide ribosomal RNA is filed under the name uncultured bacterium. RNAcentral's name for it is "partial 16S ribosomal RNA". It matches the Rfam family "Bacterial small subunit ribosomal RNA", at positions 524 to 776 of the family's 1533-position model. The record is from RNAcentral.